Molecule: long non-coding RNA, 8602 nt
Organism: Teleopsis dalmanni
Lineage: Eukaryota; Metazoa; Arthropoda; Insecta; Diptera; Diopsidae
Exons: 20
Source: RefSeq, a predicted model, not a curated record
AUUAAAUUUUAGGUUAAUAUGUAAAAAAAAAUUAAAAGUGGCUCAAUACAUUAACUAUUUUGACAUAUAAUAUUGCAUACAGGGUCUAAAAUAAUUUCGUUAUUUAUAGGAUACGUCAUCAACUCUCAUCGUUCUCUUUAUUUGGAUUGAGGAAAUAAUAUAAAAAACCAAUGGAACCUGUACCAACUCAUGGAAUGCAGGGAAAUAAAGAGGUAUAAAUUUUAAGGGACUAAAACACUUAAAUUCUUGAUAGGAGCAAUUUCUCUUUAAAACUUUAAUUGACAUUAAAUAAUAACAACAUGAGUACCAUUAGAAAUAUUAAAAAUAUUGAAUCCAGGAAUCCUCAAUUUCGUUCAGGAAAUGCGAAAGAAUUUUUUUUGAUAAUUCUGAUAAAGUUUUACAUAUACCUACAUUUUAAAAACUCAACUUAAACUUAAAAAAAACUUAAAAGAUACUACUUCAAAUUUGGCCGCAAACUUGAAUUAAGAUAUUACCUAGGGCUCAAACUCAUAUUCGUAACUAAAUUAGAAGUACUUAAGGAAAAAAACAAUAUUAAUAAUUGACGCUUUCAAAGUACCAAAACUACGCUACCGACUUUGAAUUUCUGUUGUCACAGUCUUCAAUAGGAACCGUUUAAGUGUUGAAGGUCUUAUACAUAAUCUAUAAUUAUGUGUGUAUGCGUUCUCGUAAAAUGUAAAACUAGGUGUGAAAGUGAAGUAAGUCUUUACCGCGUAAAAGAAAUCAAUGGUCAUCAGUUUGAAUCAUUCUGGAAGUCAUGAAUUUCGCAAAAUGAAUAGAAUGAAAUUGGUCAAUCUUAGAUGAAACCUUCAUUCGAACUCGAUGACAAACUUGAAUCUAAACAUAACCAGGAUACAUCACAUUCGUAGCCAAACUUUAAAGAAAAGAAAACUUAGAACAUGAUAUCCAGGAUAUUAGUUGACGCUUUUAAAUUAUUUUGUACUGACUUCCGAUUUACUUUAUAUUCAUUACGUCAAAGUCUUAACCGGAAACCGUUUAACACAUAAAUUGAAUAUUGAAAGUCCUGUACACUAUGUGUGAGUAAAUAUGAUCUUAUAAAAUGUAAAAUGGACUGUGAGUAUUGGAUUUAGUCUGAGGAGUGCCAUAUUAUCCGAAGAAAGGAUCAAUUUUAAACCUAUCACUUACAACAUUUAAAUACAGAAAUAAUGGUUAACAGAAAUUCUUCUCAUUAGAAGACCAGAAAUUUGGAAACUUAACAAACACUUAGAUGACAACUUCAUUCGAACUCGAUGACAAACUUGAAUCUAAACAUUACCAGAAUACAUCACAUUCGUAGCCAAACUUUAAAGAGAAGAAAGCUUAAAACAUGAUAUCCAGGAUAUAGUUGACGCUUUUAAAGUAUUUUGUACUGACUUUCGAUUUACUUUAUAUUCAUUACGUCACAGUCUUAACCGGGAACCGUUUAACACAUAAAUUGAAUAUUGGAAGUCCUGUACACUAUAUGUGAGUAAAUAUGAUCUUAUAAAAUGUAAAAUGGACUGUGAGUAUUGGAUUUAGUCUGAGGAGUGCCAUAUUAUCCGAAGAAAGGAUCAAUUUUAAACUUAUCACUUACAACAUUUAAAUACAGAAGUAAUGGUUAACAGAAAUUCUUCUCAUUAGAAGACCAGAAAUUUCGAAACUUAACAAAAUCUUAGAUGACAACUUCAUUCGAACUCGAUGACAAACUUGAAUCUAAAUAUUACCAGAAUGCAUCACAUUCGUAGCCAAACUUUAAAGAGAAGAAAACUUAGAACAUGAUAUCCAGGAUAUUAGUUGACGCUUUUAAAGUAUUUUGUACUGACUUCCGAUUUACUUUAUAUUCAUUACGUCAAAGUCUUAACCGGGAACCGUUUAACAAUUAAAUUGAAUAUUGAAAGUCCUGUACAUUAUGUGUGAGUAGAUAUGAUCUUAUAAAAUGUGGAAUAGACUGUGAGUAGUGGAUUUAGUCUGGGAGUGCCAUAUUAUCCGAAGAAAGGAUCAAUUUUAAACCUAUCACUUACAACAUUUAAAUACAGAAGUAAUGGUUAACAGAAAUUCUUCUCAUUAGAAGACCAGAAAUUUGGAAACUUAACAAACACUUAGAUGACAACUUCAUUCGAACUCGAUGACAAACUUGAAUCUAAACAUUACCAGAAUACAUCACAUUCGUAGCCAAACUUUAAAGAGAAGAAAGCUUAAAACAUGAUAUCCAGGAUAUAGUUGACGCUUUUAAAGUAUUUUGUACUGACUUUCGAUUUACUUUAUAUUCAUUACGUCACAGUCUUAACCGGGAACCGUUUAACACAUAAAUUGAAUAUUGGAAGUCCUGUACACUAUAUGUGAGUAAAUAUGAUCUUAUAAAAUGUAAAAUGGACUGUGAGUAUUGGAUUUAGUCUGAGGAGUGCCAUAUUAUCCGAAGAAAGGAUUAAUUUUAAACCUAUCACUUACAACAUUUAAAUACAGAAGUAAUGGUUAACAGAAAUUCUUCUCAUUAGAAGACCAGAAAUUUGGAAACUUAACAAAAUCUUAGAUGACAACUUCAUUCGAACUCGAUGACAAACUUGAAUCUAAACAUUACCAGGAUACAUCACAUUCGUAGCCAAACUUUAAAGAGAAGAAAAUUUAGAACAUAAUAUCCAGGAUAUAGUUGACGCUUUUAAAGUAUUUUGUACUGACUUUCGAUUUACUUUAUAUUCAUUACGUCACAGUCUUAACCGGGAACCGUUUAACACAUAAAUUGAAUAUUGGAAGUCCUGUACACUAUAUGUGAGUAAAUAUGAUCUUAUAAAAUGUAAAAUGGACUGUGAGUAUUGGAUUUAGUCUGAGGAGUGCCAUAUUAUCCGAAGAAAGGAUUAAUUUUAAACCUAUCACUUACAACAUUUAAAUACAGAAAUAAUGGUUAACAGAAAUUCUUCUCAUUAGAAGACCAGAAAUUUGGAAACUUAACAAACACUUAGAUGACAACUUCAUUCGAACUCGAUGACAAACUUGAAUCUAAACAUUACCAGGAUACAUCACAUUCGUAGCCAAACUUUAAAGAGAAGAAAAUUUAAAACAUGAUAUCCAGGAUAUAGUUGACGCUUUUAAAGUAUUUUGUACUGAUUUCCGAUUUACUUUAUAUUCAUUACGUCAAAGUCUUAAUCGGGAACCGUUUAACAAUUGAAUUGAAUAUUGGAAGUCCUGUACACUAUGUGUGAGUAAAUAUGAUCUUAUAAAAUGUAAAAUGGACUGUGAGUAUUGGAUUUAGUCUGGGGAGUGCCAUAUUAUCCGAAGAAAGGAUUAAUUUUAAACCUAUCACUUACAACAUUUAAAUACACAAAUAAUGGUUAACAGAAAUUCUUCUCAUUAGAAGACCAGAAAUUUGGAAACUUAACAAAAUAUUAGAUGACAACUUCAUUCGAACUCGAUGACAAACUUGAAUCUAAACAUUACCAGGAUACAUCACAUUCGUAGCCAAACUUUAAAGAGAAGAAAAUUUAGAACAUAAUAUCCAGGAUAUAGUUGACGCUUUUAAAGUAUUUUGUACUGACUUCCGAUUUACUUUAUAUUCAUUACGUCAAAGUCUUAACCGGAAACCGUUUAACAAUUAAAUUGAAUAUUGAAAGUCCUGUACACUAUGUGUGAGUAAAUAUGAUCUUAUAAAAUGUAAAAUGGACUGUGAGUAGUGGAUUUAGUCUGGGAGUGCCAUAUUAUCCGAAGAAAGGAUCAAUUUUAAACCUAUCACUUACAACAUUUAAAUACAGAAAUAAUGGUUAACAGAAAUUCUUCUCAUUAGAAGACCAGAAAUUUGGAAACUUAACAAAAUAUUAGAUGACAAUCUUCAUUCGAACUCGAUGACAAACUUGAAUCUAAAUAUUACCAGAGAUGCAUCACAUUCGUAGCCAAACUUUAAAGAGAAGAAAACUUAGAACAUGAUAUCCGGAUAUUAGUUGACGCUUUUUAAGUAUUUUGUACUGACUUCCGAUUUACUUUAUAUUCAUUACGUCAAAGUCUUUAUCGGGAACCGUUUAACACAUAAAUUGAAUAUUGGAAGUCCUGUACACUAUGUGUGAGUAAAUAUGAUCUUAUAAAAUGUAAAAUGGACUGUGAGUAUUGGAUUUAGUCUGAGGAGUGCCAUAUUAUCCGAAGAAAGGAUCAAUUUUAAACUUAUCACUUACAACAUUUAAAUACAGAAAUAAUGGUUAACAAAAAGUCUUCUCAUUAGAAGACUAGAAAUUUGGAAACUGAACAAAAUCUUAGAUGACAUCUUCAUUCGAACUCGAUGACAAACUUGAAUCUAAAUAUUACCAGAAUGCAUCACAUUCGUAGCCAAACUUUAAAGAGAAGAAAACUAAGAACAUGAUAUCCAGGAUAUUAGUUGACGCUUUUAAAGUAUUUUGUACUGACUUCCGAUUUACUUUAUAUUCAUUACGUCAUAGUCUUAAUCGGGAACCGUUUAACACAUAAAUUGAAUAUUGGAAGUCCUGUACACUAUGUGUGAGUAGAUAUGAUCUUAUAAAAUGUAAAAUAGACUGUGAGUAGUGGAUUUAGUCUGGGGAGUGCUUUAUUGUCCGAAGAAAGGAUCAAUUUUAAACUUAUCACUUACAACAUUUAAAUACAGAAAUAAUGGUUAACAAAAAGUCUUCUCAUUAGAAGACCAGAAAUUUGGAAACUUAACAAAAUAUUAGAUGACAUCUUCAUUCGAACUCGAUGACAAACUUGAUUCUAAAUAUUACCAGAAUGCAUCACAUUCGCAGCCAAACUUUAAAGAGAAGAAAACUAAGAACAUGAUAUCCAGGAUAUUAGUUGACGCUUUUAAAGUAUUUUGUACUGACUUCCGAUUUACUUUAUAUUCAUUACGUCAAAGUCUUAAUCGGGAACCGUUUAACACAUAAAUUGAAUAUUGGAAGUCCUGUACACUAUGUGUGAGUAGAUAUGAUCUUAUAAAAUGUAAAAUGGACUGUGAGUAUUGGAUUUAGUCUGAGGAGUGCCAUAUUAUCCGAAGAAAGGAUCAAUUUUAAACCUAUCACUUACAACAUUUAAAUACAGAAAUAAUGGUUAACAAAAAGUCUUCUCAUUAGAAGACUAGAAAUUUGGAAACUGAACAAAAUCUUAGAUGACAUCUUCAUUCGAACUCGAUGACAAACUUGAAUCUAAAUAUUACCAGAAUGCAUCACAUUCGUAGCCAAACUUUAAAGAGAAGAAAACUAAGAACAUGAUAUCCAGGAUAUUAGUUGACGCUUUUAAAGUAUUUUGUACUGACUUCCGAUUUACUUUAUAUUCAUUACGUCAAAGCCUUAACCGGAAACCGUUUAACACAUAAAUUGAAUAUUGAAAGUCCUGUACAUUAUGUGUGAGUAAAUAUGAUCUUAUAAAAUGUAAAAUGGACUGUGAGUAUUGGAUUUAGUCUGAGGAGUACCAUAUUAUCCGAAGAAAGGAUCAAUUUUAAACUUAUCACUUACAACAUUUAAAUACAGAAAUAAUGGUUAACAAAAAGUCUUCUCAUUAGAAGACCAGAAAUUUGGAAACUUAACAAAAUAUUAGAUGACAUCUUCAUUCGAACUCGAUGACAAACUUGAAUCUAAAUAUUACCAGAAUGCAUCACAUUCGUAGCCAAACUUUAAAGAGAAGAAAACUAAGAACAUGAUAUCCAGGAUAUUAGUUGACGCUUUUAAAGUAUUUUGUACUGACUUCCGAUUUACUUUAUAUUCAUUACGUCAAAGUCUUAACCGGAAACCGUUUAACACAUAAAUUGAAUAUUGAAAGUCCUGUACACUAUGUGUGAGUAAAUAUGAUCUUAUAAAAUGUAAAAUGGACUGUGAGUAUUGGAUUUAGUCUGAGGAGUACCAUAUUAUCCGAAGAAAGGAUCAAUUUUAAACUUAUCACUUACAACAUUUAAAUACAGAAAUAAUGGUUAACAAAAAGUCUUCUCAUUAGAAGACCAGAAAUUUGGAAACUUAACAAAAUAUUAGAUGACAUCUUCAUUCGAACUCGAUGACAAACUUGAAUCUAAAUAUUACCAGAAUGCAUCACAUUCGUAGCCAAACUUUAAAGAGAAGAAAACUAAGAACAUGAUAUCCAGGAUAUUAGUUGACGCUUUUAAAGUAUUUUGUACUGACUUCCGAUUUACUUUAUAUUCAUUACGUCAUAGUCUUAAUCGGGAACCGUUUAACACAUAAAUUGAAUAUUGGAAGUCCUGUACACUAUGUGUGAGUAAAUAUGAUCUUAUAAAAUGUAAAAUGGACUGUGAGUAUUGGAUUUAGUCUGAGGAGUGCCAUAUUAUCCGAAGAAAGGAUCAAUUUUAAACUUAUCACUUACAACAUUUAAAUACAGAAAUAAUGGUUAACAAAAAGUCUUCUCAUUAGAAGACUAGAAAUUUGGAAACUGAACAAAAUCUUAGAUGACAUCUUCAUUCGAACUCGAUGACAAACUUGAAUCUAAAUAUUACCAGAAUGCAUCACAUUCGUAGCCAAACUUUAAAGAGAAGAAAACUAAGAACAUGAUAUCCAGGAUAUUAGUUGACGCUUUUAAAGUAUUUUGUACUGACUUCCGAUUUACUUUAUAUUCAUUACGUCAAAGCCUUAACCGGAAACCGUUUAACACAUAAAUUGAAUAUUGAAAGUCCUGUACAUUAUGUGUGAGUAAAUAUGAUCUUAUAAAAUGUAAAAUGGACUGUGAGUAUUGGAUUUAGUCUGAGGAGUGCCAUAUUAUCCGAAGAAAGGAUCAAUUUUAAACCUAUCACUUACAACAUUUAAAUACAGAAAUAAUGGUUAUCAAAAAGUCUUCUCAUUAGAAGACCAGAAAUUUGGAAACUGAACAAAAUCUUAGAUGACAUCUUCAUUCGAACUCGAUGACAAACUUGAAUCUAAAUAUUACCAGAAUGCAUCACAUUCGUAGCCAAACUUUAAAGAGAAGAAAACUAAGAACAUGAUAUCCAGGAUAUUAGUUGACGCUUUUAAAGUAUUUUGUACUGACUUCCGAUUUACUUUAUAUUCAUUACGUCAUAGUCUUAAUCGGGAACCGUUUAACACAUAAAUUGAAUAUUGGAAGUCCUGUACACUAUGUGUGAGUAAAUAUGAUCUUAUAAAAUGUAAAAUGGACUGUGAGUAUUGGAUUUAGUCUGAGGAGUGCCAUAUUAUCCGAAGAAAGGAUCAAUUUUAAACUUAUCACUUACAACAUUUAAAUACAGAAAUAAUGGUUAACAAAAAGUCUUCUCAUUAGAAGACUAGAAAUUUGGAAACUGAACAAAAUAUUAGAUGACAUCUUCAUUCGAACUCGAUGACAAACUUGAAUCUAAAUAUUACCAGAAUGCAUCACAUUCGUAGCCAAACUUUAAAGAGAAGAAAACUAAGAACAUGAUAUCCAGGAUAUUAGUUGACGCUUUUAAAGUAUUUUGUACUGACUUCCGAUUUACUUUAUAUUCAUUACGUCAAAGUCUUAAUCGGGAACCGUUUAACACAUAAAUUGAAUAUUGGAAGUCCUGUACACUAUGUGUGAGUAAAUAUGAUCUUAUAAAAUGUAAAAUGGACUGUGAGUAUUGGAUUUAGUCUGGGGAGUGCUUUAUUGUCCGAAGAAAGGAUCAAUUUUAAACCUAUCACUUACAACAUUUAAAUACAGAAAUAAUGGUUAUCAAAAAGUCUUCUCAUUAGAAGACCAGAAAUUUGGAAACUGAACAAAAUAUUAGAUGACAUCUUCAUUCGAACUCGAUGACAAACUUGAAUCUAAAUAUUACCAGAAUGCAUCACAUUCGUAGCCAAACUUUAAAGAGAAGAAAACUAAGAACAUGAUAUCCAGGAUAUUAGUUGACGCUUUUAAAGUAUUUUGUACUGACUUCCGAUUUACUUUAUAUUCAUUACGUCAAAGUCUUAACCGGAAACCGUUUAACACAUAAAUUGAAUAUUGAAAGUCCUGUACACUAUGUGUGAGUAAAUAUGAUCUUAUAAAAUGUAAAAUGGACUGUGAGUAUUGGAUUUAGUCUGAGGAGUGCCAUAUUAUCCGAAGAAAGGAUCAAUUUUAAACCUAUCACUUACAACAUUUAAAUACAGAAAUAAUGGUUAACAAAAAGUCUUCUCAUUAGAAGACCAGAAAUUUGGAAACUGAACAAAAUCUUAGAUGACAUCUUCAUUCGAACUCGAUGACAAACUUGAAUCUAAAUAUUACCAGAAUGCAUCACAUUCGUAGCCAAACUUUAAAGAGAAGAAAACUAAGAACAUGAUAUCCAGGAUAUUAGUUGACGCUUUUAAAGUAUUUUGUACUGACUUCCGAUUUACUUUAUAUUCAUUACGUCAUAGUCUUAAUCGGGAACCGUUUAACACAUAAAUUGAAUAUUGGAAGUCCUGUACACUAUGUGUGAGUAAAUAUGAUCUUAUAAAAUGUAAAAUGGACUGUGAGUAUUGGAUUUAGUCUGGGGAGUGCUUUAUUGUCCGAAGAAAGGAUCAAUUUUAAACCUAUCACUUACAACAUUUAAAUACAGAAAUAAUGGUUAUCAAAAAGUCUUCUCAUUAGAAGACCAGAAAUUUGGAAACUUAACAAAAUAUUAGAUGACAUCUUCAUUCGAACUCGAUGACAAACUUGAAUCUAAAUAUUACCAGAAUGCAUCACAUUCGUAGCCAAACUUUAAAGAGAA